Molecule: long non-coding RNA, 787 nt
Organism: Xiphophorus couchianus (Monterrey platyfish)
Lineage: Eukaryota; Metazoa; Chordata; Actinopteri; Cyprinodontiformes; Poeciliidae
Exons: 4
Source: RefSeq, a predicted model, not a curated record
CCCUGGAGGGGUAAAUAUAUAUAUAUAUAUAUAUAUAUAUACAAGCAGCAGAAACGUACAAAAAUUACAACCUAAUCUACGUGAACUAUAAGUGCAGUCAAAAAUACACAUUUUAUGCCCUAAACUUCAAAACUGUGAGUACUUUAUAAGCAACGACUGGGAGCUCUAUAAGGAAAACCAAAACAUUGAAUCUGGAGUUUCUGAUCCUGAGCAAGCAUCAAGUGACAGUGGGGAUGACUAUCUCAAUUUAACAGAAGAAAACCUCCAGCAGUUUGAGUCUGACAGGACAGAAACAAGACAUUAUAAAACACUGGGCCACACGUCUCUGUAUGGAAACUGACCAACCACAUCUGAUAAUGCUAGAGAGUAUGACCUGAAGACAAUAUUCAAAUAUUUUCAGGUGACUUGCAAGAAACUUGUUUGAAUAAUGGCCGUAGGGAGAAAGUUAUUUUUGUCCAAGUUACAUAGUGGGGUAUUAUAUUGGUGCAACUGAGAGUCUGUCCAAUGUUUCACUGGAUACAGAAGAAUCUGAGCAAGGAAGCCAAGUGUCUAUUGAUUAAGUAAUUAUUUCAGAAUAUUUGUUCAUCAGUGAGGUAUAGAUAAUGGAAAUACUAGUAUAAAGACAUUAGCAUAUGUCAAAAAACAUUUCAGCUUUCAUUUUUGAUUCCUGUACUGUCACAAUGGACUUUAGAUGGAUCACUUUAAUUCUUGUCACUCUAGCAGGUCCAGCGAGUCCAAACACAACAGCUCCAAAUCCAGCUACAGGUGCUCCAACCACAACAACAGC